RNAcentral lists this transfer RNA (126 nucleotides) under Acidobacteriota bacterium. RNAcentral describes it as "Acidobacteria bacterium (activated sludge metagenome) tRNA-OTHER". It matches the Rfam family "tRNA". Rfam says of the family: Transfer RNA (tRNA) molecules are approximately 80 nucleotides in length. Their secondary structure includes four short double-helical elements and three loops (D, anti-codon, and T loops). The record is from RNAcentral. Lineage: Bacteria; Pseudomonadati; Acidobacteriota.
GGGGCAGUAGCUCAGUAGUAGAGCGCGAAACGUUGUUUCGUCAAAUUCUUGUCGUCGCAUUUUCACUUCGGCGCGAAUGCAGUUGGAAGUACAUCGUUGCAAGUUCGACUCUUGUCUGCCCCUCCA